RNAcentral lists this unclassified non-coding RNA (351 nucleotides) under uncultured Hymenochaete. RNAcentral's name for it is "sequence contains ITS1". The stretch from base 1 to 105 matches the Rfam family "5.8S ribosomal RNA", at positions 50 to 154 of the family's 154-position model. Lineage: Eukaryota; Fungi; Basidiomycota; Agaricomycetes; Hymenochaetales; Hymenochaetaceae. The record is from RNAcentral.
GAAAUGCGAUAAGUAAUGUGAAUUGCAGAAUUCAGUGAAUCAUCGAAUCUUUGAACGCACCUUGCGCCCUUUGGCAUUCCGAAGGGCACGCCUGUUUGAGUGUCAUGUUCAUCUCAGUCCAUCAGUUUUUUCUAAAGCUGGCAUUGGAUUGGAUUUGGGAGCCUGCUGGCCCUUCUAUGGGUCGGCUCUCCUUGAAUGCAUGAGUGAGCAUCUGACUCGCGUUGCUGAUGUGAUAGUCUUUCAUCAUUGGCGGCGCUUGUCUAAUGGGCUUGCUUUCGAACCGUCUUCUCAUCGGAGACAAUUUUUGACAUAUUUGACCUCAAAUCAGGUGGGACUACCCGCUGAACUUAA